Eriocheir sinensis (Chinese mitten crab) is the source of this 2551-nucleotide long non-coding RNA. RefSeq lists it as uncharacterized. NCBI's taxonomy places the organism in Eukaryota, Metazoa, Arthropoda, Malacostraca, Decapoda, Varunidae. The record is from RefSeq and is a predicted model, not a curated record. The transcript has 2 exons.
CAUAUAUUACCUUUGUGUCACGUGGCACCAAAACCCACCUGCCUAUCAAACCUAAUGACCUUUUAUAACGACCUCCUCUCAGUUUGACGUAACCAAAUAACUGGACGUAGUCUAUGUUGAUUUCCAGAAACCAUUUGAUAAAGUCCCACAUCAUAAAUUACUUUACAAAUUAAAGCAAAUAGGUAUUGACGGUCGAGUACACCAAUGGAUCGCGAAUUGGUUGAGCAACAGACAACAAAGAGUGGUGAUUGACGGAUUUAAGUGAGUGCCGGGCACUAGUGGCGUCCCUCUGGGCUCUGUUCUUGGCCCAGUGCUCUUCAUUAUGUACAUCAACGAUGUGGGUGUUGGACUCAAUAAUCGCAUUAGUAAAUUUGCAGAUGACACAAAGAUUGGUAACUCGGUUCACACUGACGAAGGCAGGCAAAGCCUCCAAGAGGAUUUGCACAAAAUUUCAGCUUGGUCUGAUAAAUAAGAGAUGCCCUUUAACGUAGACAAAUGCCAGGUCCUUAAAGUUGGAACGAGGAAUAAGAAGUUCGAUUACGAAAUGCGCGGCAUUAAACUCAAAAGCAUUCAAUGCGUUAAGGACUUCGGGGUCAAAAUCGUGUCAAACCUCAAAUUCUAACAGGAAUGCAUCGAUGCAGCAAAUAAAGCGAACAGAAUGUUGGGCUUCAUUAAAAGAAACUUUUUAUUCAAGAAUAAAGAUGUAAUAUUUCCACUCUACAAUAGUUUAGUCAGACCCCACUUGGAAUAUGUGGUUUUGGUCUCCCCACCAUGCAAAGGACAUUGCUAAAUGAGGUUUAUUCACAUUAUGUUGGUAUAUAAUGGUAGCGAGCUUAUGGAAAUUAAGUAGCAAUAUUAUUUACAAUUCAUCAUUCUGUUGGUAAUGGUAGCGAGCUUACUGAGUUACUUUACAACACUGAUUACAACUCAUCAUUCCACUCACCAGAAGGGCAUACUCAAUCACAGACAAUUUCAUAAAAUGUGUAUAGAUAUAGAGUUCUGACCAUAGCUAACAAAAACUACCCUAGUCAAGUUUCUAUGGUGCAUAAUUAUACAAUAAAAUGUAUCCCUUCAACCACCGAUCGGUAUGUGUUCACAAAGAUGAGUAUGGGGGCAAGGUAUUGUGUAGGGUUAAGAUACCAAGGCGGUGAUCAUAAGCCCACACAAAAGGGGAUGUUCACGCACUACAUAGUGACACAACAAGUGAGGUACCAGCUCACUCAGUAUGCUAGGGAACCUGUGGGGGUGAGGUUGAGACGGUGUGUCAAUUCAACUCUUUAAGUAACAUUAACAUUGUAUCAAGAUAACACUAACAAGCUUGGUGCCUAGGAGCUGGAUUUCAACGUACCUGUGGGGGUGAGGUUGAGAUGGUGUGUGAGGGGGACACUCUCACACGGUCGGCUUCUCACCUCUUCCCACUGCCCGCGGCUAGCCAGAGGCUAGUGAACGCAUUUAUUGGUGGUUUAGUUAACAUCCAAUUGGCUGGUUCUGCCAGUUCAGAAAGAGUUUCGAAGCAACUGGUUCUCUCACUCAAUACAGGUGAAAAAUUCUGCUCGUCAGUCCUCCGUGAAAAAACUAACUAAUGAUCAUUCGGCACCUUCGGCCAAGGCGUAGUCACGCCACCAGCUCCACAUCUGGUUCGUCUGUCUGACUUGCGGUUCGUAACCACCUAAUUCACAAGCAACACAUCAGUUAUUACAGGUUAUCGAUUUCUCGGUUUUCCCCGCAUUACAGAUGAACAGCUGGGUGAGCUGCACUCCAAUUCCUCAGAUCUGGAUUCAAACCUACCAAAAGUUGAGAUGCUACACAAUUAAGGUUUAUGAAGUUGUACAGUAAAAGUAGGACAGAGACAGCAUCUAAUAUCUGGUCCUUUGAAAUGGAAUAGUAACUAGAGAUCACAUUUACAAAUUACUGAAGAGCCACUGCAGGACACGCAAAACCAAUAUUUUGUGGGAGUAAAUAUAGUAAAGAUGUGAAGUAGUCUAGUCAUAGUAUAUAGUUGAAGCACAUCUGAAAGGAAACUAUAAGUUUUAGGGAGGUCAAGACUAAUUAUGAGAGACAGCAAUAUAUUUAGGAGUGCAGCUACAGACAGCCAGCUAAAAUUGAUAGUAUGUAGUUCAUUCAUUUUUUUACCUAAGGACCAAUCUAGAUAUUUAGUUAUAGAUGUUAUUUAUGGCAUUUAUGUUAUGACAAAAAUAGUCUCAAAUAACAAUCACACCUGAUGCAUCUUUACAAAGAUAUUCAACCUUGAAAAAGAUGAAACAUUGCACAUUGUGAAUAAACCUCUAAAACUCUGAGUUGCUAUUGAAGAUUAUCUUACUUCAUUUAUUUUCCAUGGAAAAUAAAAACAAUUACAUGUGAAGGCUGUUUAGAUACUUCGUGGCUUGAACCCACAUGUAAAGCAGUGAGCCCUGAACCUUUAAACCUGUGGUGUAAAUUUUGGCAGAUGCCGUUGAAACUUGGUGAGGCGUUAUCAAAAAAGUGAAAAAGAGCUCCAGGAACCACUCCCUUUUCUUGUAUUAUUGCCCUUGUCCAUCCCAAAUGGAAAGUG